Molecule: ribosomal RNA, 1264 nt
Filed under: Tenacibaculum discolor
Lineage: Bacteria; Pseudomonadati; Bacteroidota; Flavobacteriia; Flavobacteriales; Flavobacteriaceae
Description: bacterial SSU rRNA
Rfam family: Bacterial small subunit ribosomal RNA
Source: RNAcentral
UGCAGUCGAGGGGUAACAGGGAAAAGCUUGCUUUUUUGCUGACGACCGGCGAACGGGUGCGUAACGCGUAUAGAAUCUGCCUUGUACAGGAGGAUAGCCUUUAGAAAUGAAGAUUAAUACUCCAUAAUGUUGAGAAAUGGCAUCAUUUUUUAAUUAAAGAUUUAUCGGUACAAGAUGACUAUGCGUCCUAUUAGCUAGAUGGUAAGGUAACGGCUUACCAUGGCGACGAUAGGUAGGGGGUCUGAGAGGAUUAUCCCCCACACUGGUACUGAGACACGGACCAGACUCCUACGGGAGGCAGCAGUGAGGAAUAUUGGUCAAUGGAGGCAACUCUGAACCAGCCAUGCCGCGUGCAGGAAGACUGCCCUAUGGGGUUGUAAACUGCUUUUAUACAGGAAGAAACUUAGUUACGUGUAACUAACUGACGGUACUGUAAGAAUAAGCACCGGCUAACUCCGUGCCAGCAGCCGCGGUAAUACGGAGGGUGCAAGCGUUAUCCGGAAUCAUUGGGUUUAAAGGGUCCGCAGGCGGUCAAUUAAGUCAGAGGUGAAAUCCCAUAGCUUAACUAUGGAACUGCCUUUGAUACUGGUUGACUUGAGUUAUACGGAAGUAGAUAGAAUAAGUAGUGUAGCGGUGAAAUGCAUAGAUAUUACUUAGAAUACCGAUUGCGAAGGCAGUCUACUACGUAUAUACUGACGCUCAUGGACGAAAGCGUGGGGAGCGAACAGGAUUAGAUACCCUGGUAGUCCACGCCGUAAACGAUGGACACUAGUUGUUGGGAUUUAUCUCAGUGACUAAGCGAAAGUGAUAAGUGUCCCACCUGGGGAGUACGAUCGCAAGAUUGAAACUCAAAGGAAUUGACGGGGGCCCGCACAAGCGGUGGAGCAUGUGGUUUAAUUCGAUGAUACGCGAGGAACCUUACCAGGGCUUAAAUGUAGAGUGACAGGGGUAGAGAUACCUUUUUCUUCGGACACUUUACAAGGUGCUGCAUGGUUGUCGUCAGCUCGUGCCGUGAGGUGUCAGGUUAAGUCCUAUAACGAGCGCAACCCCUAUCGUUAGUUGCUAGCAGGUAAUGCUGAGGACUCUAGCGAGACUGCCGGUGCAAACCGUGAGGAAGGUGGGGAUGACGUCAAAUCAUCACGGCCCUUACGUCCUGGGCUACACACGUGCUACAAUGGUAUGGACAAUGAGCAGCCACAACGCGAGUUGGAGCGAAUCUAUAAACCAUAUCACAGUUCGGAUCGGAGUCUGCAACUCGACUCCG